Molecule: ribosomal RNA, 484 nt
Filed under: uncultured bacterium
Lineage: Bacteria
Description: partial 16S ribosomal RNA
Rfam family: Bacterial small subunit ribosomal RNA
Source: RNAcentral
AUUGAACGCUGGCGGAAUGCUUUACACAUGCAAGUCGAACGGCAGCACGGGGGCAGCCCUGGUGGCGAGUGGCGAACGGGUGAGUAAUACAUCGGAACGUGCCCGGUCGUGGGGGAUAGCGUAGCGAAAGUUACGCUAAUACCGCAUACGAUCUGAGGAUGAAAGCGGGGGACCUUCGGGCCUCGCGCGAUCGGAGCGGCCGAUGUCAGAUUAAGUAGUUGGUGGGGUAAAGGCCUACCAAGCCGACGAUCUGUAGCUGGUCUGAGAGGACGACCAGCCACACUGGGACUGAGACACGGCCCAGACUCCUACGGGAGGCAGCAGUGGGGAAUUUUGGACAAUGGGCGCAAGCCUGAUCCAGCCAUUCCGCGUGCAGGACGAAGGCCUUCGGGUUGUAAACUGCUUUUGUACGGAACGAAAAGGCUCUGGCUAAUACCUGGGGCUCAUGACGGUACCGUAAGAAUAAGCACCGGCUAACUACGUG